RNAcentral lists this transfer RNA (96 nucleotides) under Actinoplanes sp. NBRC 103695. RNAcentral's name for it is "tRNA-Pro". The record is from RNAcentral. Lineage: Bacteria; Bacillati; Actinomycetota; Actinomycetes; Micromonosporales; Micromonosporaceae.
GCGCGCUGUACCGGGCCGGCCGGCCGGGCGACGCGCUGGAGGCGUUCCGGCAGGGCCGGGCCCGGCUGGUCGGCGAGUUCGGCCUCGAACCGGGCC